This 2620-nucleotide long non-coding RNA is filed under the name Nicotiana benthamiana. Its description in RNAcentral is "long non-coding RNA (NBEN_LNC011271)". The record is from RNAcentral. Lineage: Eukaryota; Viridiplantae; Streptophyta; Magnoliopsida; Solanales; Solanaceae.
UGAGUGUUAAUUAUAAAUUAUUACAAACCAAAAAUAAUGAAUUACAUCAGAAUAGUACAAAUGAAAUGUUAAAACUAGAGGAAACUUGAUUCUUGACUUCCUUUAUGAGUUAUGAAAUAAACCACCUCAAAUUCCACUGAUUCAAAGCCUUUAUCACACCUAGGUGUAUCAGAGUUCCCUAAGGGUCUCAAAGGACCCCGGACAAUGCUUACACCCAGGUUCAUAGAACCAUAUAGGGAUGAAUGCAGUGUGAAAGUGCCAGCCCUUAUGUGUUCAAGUUUAGAGGGAGGUCAUGGGUCCCAUGGCAAGGCUUACGCAAGAGGGGCAGAGCUUAAGUCUAAGAAGAUAGUGAAAGUGCAAGAACAGAGUUUUAAAUUGAAGGGAUAAAUGAGAGGGGUAAACGGUGAUAGGGAGACAGUAAUAAGUAACACAUAGGCCAUGAUUAGCUUUGGGAAUGGACAACAAUAGAAGGUGAUGGCAUGCCUAUAAACCAAUUAGAACACACAAUAUCUAGAGAAGACAUGGAGCUUAUGAUCCCAGGGGGAUCAGGUUUGGGUCAUGCACAGCAAUGUCCAAUGCUGUCAUGCCCCUAACCAACCACAGAUACUAAACACAUCGGGGAAGGGGAUUUAGGAUUCAUAAGUAAUGGACAAAAACAAUAAUUCAGAAUAGGAAGGGGUAGAUUACAACAUGUUUAAUAAUGAAACUUGGUUAAAUACAAACAGGAGACAAACAAGGAUGAAAAAGACAGUAAAGAAACAUGUUGCUGUUGAUGCAGAAGCUUAAUUAGAAAAUACCACUAAAGAUGAAAAUGCAGAGAAAAAUAAGAUUGUUUUCCAUAGCCUAGCCUUGGCUUUCAACCAGCUAGGUCAGGUAGCAAUACAAGUAGCAACACAGAAAAUAGAGAGAUUUUAGUGGAGUGUGUGCCUGAACUCAAGUAUUUUUAGGCCUUGUGUUUGUGUCUUUGAAAGAAGAGAAUGUGGGUAUUUAUAAUUUUGAAAACAUGUAAGACAUAAGGCAAUAAAUAAGGUUUAAUGCACAUAUAGAAGUAAUCAGCAAUCUGAAUCAAACAACCAAGUGAUUCCCCUUUAAAUGAGGCAUCACUUUUUUAAUGGGGCUAACACGUUUAAAAGAAAGAAAGAAAAUCAAUUUGUAGGCCAAAUGGUUAUUACCAUAAAAAGAAGCAGUAAAACAUUGAAUACACAAUAGAGUCCAAGUACAGAAGCACAUUUAUUAUGGAAAAGGGAUUCAAUAAGGCUGAAUAAGGAAAAGAAUCAAUUAAUUUUAACAGGUGAGUAAAAUUAGGAGUUCAUAAAAAGAAAGCCUUCAAAUCAGCCCCAAAGUUGAGAAUCAACCAAAGAAGGGGCCUCGGCAAAUAAAUAGAGUGCACAAACGAUGGAGAUGCAAGGCCAAACUAUUGGUAAAAGAAAUUGCAUGCAAUAGUAGCACAAAGUUAGUAGACAGCAAACAUUCAAGGCAUAAUAGUCACGUAGGUCGAGUUUCAUUGAAUUAGUAGUAAAGAUAAAAAAGAUAGAGUAUCAGAAGCAUACAAAGGGUCAAGUGAGAAAACCCUUCUGAAAAUCAUAGUCGAGUUUCAAACAUAGUAAGAAGCCGAAAUCAAAGGAAUCACAUAAAGAAAAGAGACGCUGAAACAAAGGAACUUCAAAUCAAGUCAGGUAUUCCAACAAUCAAUUUCAAACAAAUAAAUUGCACAAGCAGUUUCAGAAACUCGAACAGACCCCAAAGAAAUUAGGGUUUUCGACACCAAUCGAUUUUAAAGAUGAUGAACAAAUAGAUUACAUAAAUACAUAGCAAACUGCUUCAGAAACUCGAAUGAACCCAAAAGAAAUUAGGGUUUUCAACAUUAAUCAAGUUUAAAGAUGAUACACAAAUAAAUCAGACAAUAUUUAGCAAAUAGCCUCAGAAACUCGAAUGAACCCAAAGAAAUUAAGGUUUUCAACACCAAUCGAGUCUAGAGACGAUAAAAAAGUAAAUCAAAUAAACACCAACAAAUAUUCUCAGAAACCCCAAAAGAACUGAGGAUUUUUAUCAGGAAAACUCAUAUAGAAAAACAAUACGAGCAAACAGAGCAAAACAUGUCAAAAAUCGUAGAAAAUAUUUGAAAUAACUUAACAAGAAACCCUAAUCGAAAAAUAUAAAGAGUUUUGAAAGCAAAGUUUUAAGAAAACUUCGAGAAAAUUCUUAGAAAUUCAAAGCAAGCAUAGAUGUGAAGUAGAUCUGAAAGAAAUAGAAAGAACCUUAGAGAUUAGAGUUUCAGAAGAACCCCAAAAGCAACAAGAAAGGCUGUGAAAGUUAUCGAUCUAACCACGAGAGUCAAAGGCCUAACUCGAAUGGCCAUGGCUGGCCGGAGAAAGGCUAGAAAUGCCCGGAGAAGGGCCGUGAACUAAAAUCGAACGAAGGCUGGACCAGGGUUCUUCAUAGUCUAGUCUUGAAACCAUAAGGACAACACAUAGGAGCCAUAGAAAGGCUGAUACAGGUCUCUGAUGGCCUUGGAAGGCCAUGGAUUAGGGUAGAUUAAGGUGGCGGCAGCUAGGGUUUGAUGUUGUUGUAGAGAGGAUUUGAGAAAGGAGGGGAAUUCAGAGGUGGUGUAUGGUGGAAA